RNAcentral lists this ribosomal RNA (491 nucleotides) under uncultured bacterium. RNAcentral describes it as "bacterial SSU rRNA". It matches the Rfam family "Bacterial small subunit ribosomal RNA", at positions 28 to 507 of the family's 1533-position model. The record is from RNAcentral.
GAUGAACGCUAGCUACAGGCUUAACACAUGCAAGUCGAGGGGAAACGACAUCGAAAGCUUGCUUUUGAUGGGCGUCGACCGGCGCACGGGUGAGUAACGCGUAUCCAACCUGCCCAUCACUUGGGGAUAACCUUGCGAAAGUAAGACUAAUACCCGAUGAUAUCCCUAGAAGACAUCUGAAAGGGAUUAAAGAUUUAUCGGUGAUGGAUGGGGAUGCGUCUGAUUAGCUUGUUGGCGGGGUAACGGCCCACCAAGGCGACGAUCAGUAGGGGUUCUGAGAGGAAGGUCCCCCACAUUGGAACUGAGACACGGUCCAAACUCCUACGGGAGGCAGCAGUGAGGAAUAUUGGUCAAUGGGCGAGAGCCUGAACCAGCCAAGUAGCGUGCAGGAUGACGGCCCUAUGGGUUGUAAACUGCUUUUAUAAGGGAUAAAGUUAGUCUCGUGAGACUUUUUGCAUGUACCUUAUGAAUAAGGACCGGCUAAUUCCGUG